Long non-coding RNA from Vicia villosa (hairy vetch), 1436 nucleotides. RefSeq lists it as uncharacterized. The transcript is spliced from 4 exons. The record is from RefSeq and is a predicted model, not a curated record. Lineage: Eukaryota; Viridiplantae; Streptophyta; Magnoliopsida; Fabales; Fabaceae.
AUUAGGGCUACCUGUGACUGUGAGUGACGAUUGAAAUUCUUCACGCUAUCCUUCCUUUCUCAAACGAACUCGCGACGACGGUGAAGGCACGGUGGAGGAUCCUUCUUCUCCGAUCAAACACGCAACGUCGUCCGGCCAUUCUACCUCAUUCUCAAUCGCCGAUUAAGAAUUCCGAUAGGUCCUCUCCUCUCUCGCAUCUCCCUCUCGCCAAUCCCUCAAUCUCCAAUCAGACUUCAGGUCGAUUGCUUCGCUUCGUAGGCGAUUUUAUUCUCUAUGUUCACGAUGCGCGAUGAUGAUGAGGUGUGUUGUUGUCGUUUGUUGACGACGACGCGUUGAAACUGCAGAGAACUGAAGGUGAAGGUGAUCUUUCCAAAAACGGUGAGUUUCGCAUUCGCUUCCUCCUCUUAAUCUUUACUUCUGCGCUGCGAUGUUGAGCUCUUGAUGCGGCUUCAAUAGAGGAUCAGGGAAUUCAGAGGUUGCGAUUUUCUGUUGUUCCUGUUGAAGAAGAUAGUGAGAGUCGGAGGAAGAAAAUUUCAGAUUGAAGAUUUUGCAGGAGUUUGAAGAUUGCGGAAUCAGUUCAGGGGUUGAAGAGCUUUGGUGAUGAAGAGAGAAGAAGAUGAUGAAUUUGUGAAGAAGAUGAAGAAGAAGAUGAAUGAAGAGGUUCAGGUUGAAGGGAGAAUGAAGGUUUUAGAGAAGAUUUUCUGGUUUUUUCCUUCUGGUGGAUCGUAUGAAGAUGAAGGAAUUGAAGAGUGAAUUCAAUGGAGAAAGAAUGAAGUUUGUUACAGGUGCUUUGAUGGUUUGUGUAGGUUUUGCAACAGGGAUCAUUGUGAGCAUGCUGAAGUUGUUUAGAGUGGACAUAACUUGUUUAUCAUUUGGAUUGUAUUUGUGAUGGCUGCACUGAUGUUGAACUUGGAGCGUGGAGCUGUACCGGUCGCUUCAAACCAAAUGUAUACGCCGCAUCAUGCGUUUGACCAAAGAUUUACGAGGCUGUGAUGUACGACAACUUUGCACAACAUACUGAAGUUGGAAUGAUGUUACGACGGUUUAUACUUUAUGGAGUAGUUUGGAAUGACACUUGAAAUAGCACAUAGAGCAAAAUGAGGAUGUGAAGAAAUGAAGAGGACUUGGAGAAAGAGACCAAAUGACCUUGAAAAGGAGAGCAUUAGGUCUAGGAAGUCAAUUGAAUUAGUCGAAGAGUCAACAAGUCGACGGUCAACCGUGGCUUUUCUUUUGUAAUUUUCUUUUUGUAUAAUAAUUGAAACUUGCAACAACUUGUAUUCCACGCGGCUUAAACUUUAUAAUUGUGAUGAAUUUGUGACGACGACUUAUGUUCCAAAUAGUAUGAAAUGAAUGGUUUCCCUCUUUUCCUUUUGUAAUUGUGUACUGUGACUUGGUAAUAUAUAUUUCUAUGGAUUGAAUGAACAAAAGCUUGAUCA